Molecule: ribosomal RNA, 582 nt
Filed under: uncultured bacterium
Lineage: Bacteria
Description: bacterial SSU rRNA
Rfam family: Bacterial small subunit ribosomal RNA
Source: RNAcentral
AAGGGGCAGUAAGGCGUGGGUAACCUACCCCGGGGACGGGGAUAGCCCUCCUAACGGAGGGGUAAUACCUGGCGAUGUGGUCGAGGGGCAUCUCUUGGCCAUGAAAUGAAUCUCGCCUCGGGAGGGGCUCACGUGAUAUCAGCUUGUUGGUGGGGUAACGGCCUACCAAGGCUACGACGUCUAGCGGGUGUGAGAGCACGACCCGCGCCACUGGCACUGAGACACUGGCCAGACUCCUACGGGAGGCUGCAGUCGAGGAUCUUCGGCAAUGGGCGCAAGCCUGACCGAGCGACGCCGCGUGUGCGAUGAAGGCCUUCGGGUUGUAAAGCACUGUCGAGGGGGAGGAAGCUCCGCAAGGGGUUGACCUAUCCCUGGAGGAAGCACGGGCUAAGUUCGUGCCAGCAGCCGCGGUAAGACGAACCGUGCGAACGUUGUUCGGAUUCACUGGGCUUAAAGGGCGCGUAGGCGGCUUGCCAAGUCGGGGGUGAAAUCUUUCGGCCUAACCGGAAAAGGGCCCCCGAUACUGGCAGGCUUGAGGGAGAUAGGGGCACGCGGAACUUCCGGUGGAGCGGUGAAAUGCGU